CCGACCUACGGCUACAUGGCAAUCAUGGACCCCAGCACCAACAAACUAACCUACAUCCCACUCACUCAAGAAUUCGAAGCAUUUGGAUGCUCACCCCCCUGCAGAAUUCGACUCUCUGGAGACGCUGACGCGUCGAGACCCAUCCUCCCAAAACACUUCGUGGUCUACCUUCAUAGCGGCAACUUCAUAAAAGAGCCAUACGUCGCCGCUCGCGCCCUCGGCCCCGAAUGCCGCCUAAAUGGAGUGCCCCUCGAGAUAAAUCAAGAAUUCGAACUAAAAGACCAAGACGAAAUCGAUAUCAGCGGAUAUCAAUUCCGAUACGUCAUCUACCCAAUUCGCGUCAAUCAGUUUAUCGCGUAUCGAGAAAGCAAGUAUCUCGAACAAUCCAGCGCCAAGGUGAACGAAUUCCUCAAAAGUCCAGACGGACGUAAUUUCGGUUUCCUUCAAAACACAAUUCUGACGCAAAAUAACGGAUCUGCAAUUAAAAAUA
This is a long non-coding RNA of Schistocerca gregaria, 490 nucleotides long. RefSeq lists it as uncharacterized. The record is from RefSeq and is a predicted model, not a curated record. NCBI's taxonomy places the organism in Eukaryota, Metazoa, Arthropoda, Insecta, Orthoptera, Acrididae. The transcript has 3 exons.